AUGGCCGCGCCUCCUCGCCGCCCGGACCCGUCGUCCUCAACGCCGCCUCUCCUGCUCGUUGACCGCGCCGCCGGAGCCCUGCAUCGCGCCAAGCAUCGCCGGCGCCCCCAAGUCCGCGUCGCCAAGUUCCUCGAGCAGCUGGAGCUCGCCGCGUCCCCGCGCCCUGCUCCUUCAUGCCCAAGCCUCCCCUCGAGCUCCUCUGCCUCCGCGCCCGCAAGUCCCCGCCGUUCCCCGUCGACCUCGUCGGAGCACAGGACCUCCUCGGCCACCGCUUCACCAGGGACGUCGAGCGCCACCAGCAGCAGUUCUGGCAGUCCCCGUCAUCGAGUUCCUCACCGACCCGUUGUUUCCCGCGCCUACCGGCCUCGCUGCAAGCCCCUGGCACCGCCUCCAUGCUUCUCCAAGACGCCUUGUUUUCCUUUUCUGUUCGGCCACAAUUGCAUCGACCCUCAUACAGAGCACCGGGGUACUGGUUGUUUUGUUUGCGGGUGCUUCGUUUGUUGCUUCAGGGAAACAUCACCAAGUACCUCUACAGUCGCUGUAUCACCAAGACCGUCUCGGGUUAUGACAAGUACCACUACACCUGGAGAUGUAAUGAGUACCCCUACGGAAGACCCAAACGUCUAUGAAUCGUGUACGACGACCGUUGUUCGUCAAGUACCCCUUUGGUUCGCCAAGUUUCGACUACCAUCGUCGUGA
RNAcentral lists this ribosomal RNA (699 nucleotides) under Triticum aestivum (bread wheat). Its description in RNAcentral is "partial small subunit ribosomal RNA". The record is from RNAcentral. Lineage: Eukaryota; Viridiplantae; Streptophyta; Magnoliopsida; Poales; Poaceae.